Molecule: ribosomal RNA, 253 nt
Filed under: uncultured bacterium
Lineage: Bacteria
Description: partial 16S ribosomal RNA
Rfam family: Bacterial small subunit ribosomal RNA
Source: RNAcentral
UACGUAGGUGGCAAGCGUUGUCCGGAAUUAUUGGGUGUAAAGGGUGCGUAGGCGGGGAUAUAAGUCAGAUGUGAAAUUCCAGGGCUUAACUUUGGAGCUGCAACUGAAACUAUAUUUCUUGAGUGUCGGAGAGGAAAGUGGAAGUUCUAGUGUAGCGGUGAAAUGCGUAGAUAUUAGGAGGAACACCAGUGGCGAAGGCGACUUUCUGGACGAUAACUGACGCUGAGGCACGAAAGCGUGGGGAGCAAACAGG